GGUUCUCUCCGAAAUAGCUUUAGGGCUAGCCUCAAGUGAUGAUUAUUGGAGGUAGAGCACUGUUUGGACGAGGGGCCCCUCUCGGGUUACCGAAUUCAGACAAACUCCGAAUGCCAAUUAAUUUAACUUGGGAGUCAGAACAUGGGUGAUAAGGUCCGUGUUCGAAAGGGAAACAGCCCAGACCACCAGCUAAGGUCCCAAAAUAUAUGUUAAGUGGAAAAGGAUGUGGCGUUGCCCAGACAACUAGGAUGUUGGCUUAGAAGCAGCCAUCAUUUAAAGAGUGCGUAAUAGCUCACUAGUCGAGUGACACUGCGCCGAAAAUGUACCGGGGCUAAACAUAUUACCGAAGCUGUGGAUUGUCCUUUGGACAAUGGUAGGAGAGCGUUCUAAGGGCGUUGAAGCAUGAUCGUAAGGACAUGUGGAGCGCUUAGAAGUGAGAAUGCCGGUGUGAGUAGCGAAAGACGGGUGAGAAUCCCGUCCACCGAUUGACUAAGGUUUCCAGAGGAAGGCUCGUCCGCUCUGGGUUAGUCGGGUCCUAAGCUGAGGCCGACAGGCGUAGGCGAUGGAUAACAGGUUGAUAUUCCUGUACCACCUAUAAUCGUUUUAAUCGAUGGGGGGACGCAGUAGGAUAGGCGAAGCGUGCGAUUGGAUUGCACGUCUAAGCAGUAAGGCUGAGUAUUAGGCAAAUCCGGUACUCGUUAAGGCUGAGC
Molecule: ribosomal RNA, 710 nt
Filed under: Staphylococcus aureus
Lineage: Bacteria; Bacillati; Bacillota; Bacilli; Caryophanales; Staphylococcaceae
Description: partial 23S ribosomal RNA
Rfam family: Bacterial large subunit ribosomal RNA
Source: RNAcentral